Non-coding RNA from Lonchura striata (white-rumped munia), 90 nucleotides. The record is from Rfam. Lineage: Eukaryota; Metazoa; Chordata; Aves; Passeriformes; Estrildidae.
GCUCCAGUGGCGCAAUCGGUCAGCGCGCGGUACUUAUAGGGCGGUACACGAGCGAUGCCGAGGUUGUGAGUUCGAGCCUCACCUGGAGCA